Molecule: transfer RNA, 72 nt
Filed under: Marmota monax (woodchuck)
Lineage: Eukaryota; Metazoa; Chordata; Mammalia; Rodentia; Sciuridae
Description: tRNA.Thr
Source: RNAcentral
GGGGUAUAGCUUAGUGGUAGAGCGCUUGCCUAGUAUGUGAAGGCCUGAGGUUCAAUCCCCAAGUACCUACCU